Long non-coding RNA from Danio rerio (zebrafish), 138 nucleotides. The record is from Ensembl. NCBI's taxonomy places the organism in Eukaryota, Metazoa, Chordata, Actinopteri, Cypriniformes, Danionidae.
CUGUUAUUCUUUUUCAGAUGGAUAAUUGCGUGAAAAUCAAACUAAAAGAAUGCAAUCUUGAGGAGUUAAUCCCCACAUUUGAAGCACAGGAGCGAACCUUUCCUCGUUUUUAGGUCAAUUUGAAUACAAUUCAGAGGG